This is a non-coding RNA of Pelodiscus sinensis (Chinese soft-shelled turtle), 415 nucleotides long. Lineage: Eukaryota; Metazoa; Chordata; Testudines; Trionychidae. The record is from RefSeq and is a predicted model, not a curated record.
UCUGAGCUCCCCCCAGCCGACUGCACCCCUUCCCCCACGUGCCCUCCUCCGGCCCAGCCCCUGCUGCUCCCUGGGGGCUCGUUUGCGUUUGAUUUCUGAACACGCCGUUAGUACCAUCAGCAAACAGUCUCCAGCUCGUCCCGCCCAGGAAUGGACCCAGCCUGCUGCGGUGCCCGCCAGCCGCCAGGAGGAAAAGUUUUUCCUGCUUUUCUCUUCCUUCCUCUGCCGGCCAUGGAAAAAAAAGAAACAGGUUGAGGGGAGAGGGCGGGGAAACAACAACUGGAAAAUCCGCUUGGUUCACUGAUUAAAAUCUCCAGAUUUUAGCUGGGCAGGUUGGAGUUACAAAUUGCCUACUGAACACUAGGAAAAUUUCAUUUUCAAAUAGCUUCAAGACUAACAAAAAACUUUUAAUAAA